Molecule: long non-coding RNA, 548 nt
Organism: Mytilus californianus (California mussel)
Lineage: Eukaryota; Metazoa; Mollusca; Bivalvia; Mytilida; Mytilidae
Exons: 4
Source: RefSeq, a predicted model, not a curated record
AGGGAGAAGUUGAAAUGAAAUUACAUUUAGCUGGAGUAAACAGAGUUUUAGUGUCAUCUAAUAUAUUCAUGACAUACAAAAUAGCUAGAAUGACAGCAAAAGUUACCAUAUAUUUUAUUUAUUACGACUGUCAUCAAUGUAUGGAAUACAUCAAAGAACACCACGUAAGACAAAGUGCAGAUGAGACCAGAGUUAAGAUUAUUGAUGAAGAUGACAUCACUGAAGUAAAUGAAAGAACUUCGUUGAUUGGCGUGAACACCAGGGCUAUUGAUAUUGAUGAAGAAGCAUUGGACAAGAUUUUAGAUAUAUCUGUAAGCUACUUUGAUAAGUUUUUGUCUGGAAAACUAAGCCAUCCCGCGAAUAUCAGACAUUCACGUCGGGCAAUCUGUUUAUGUCAGUUUUUGGAGGAAAUGAACAAAUCAUGUAAGGGACAGAAUACACAACAUAACAUUAUUGAAGUGUAGCAGUUAAAGUUUAUAUUGAAUCUCACUUAUAUAUAGCUUUUCAUUGUGUUUUUUAUAAUUAACUACAUAUAAAUUUACUUAUUA